GAAAGAUCCUAAUGCACCCAAAUGUCCUCCUACUGCAUUCUUUUUGUUCAUGGAUAAGUUUAGGAAAUCUUAUAAGGAAGCAAAUCCAGAUGCAAAGAGUGCUACAGGGGUACUCAUUUUUCACUUUUGUGCUUGACAUGGUUUUCUUUA
Molecule: long non-coding RNA, 150 nt
Organism: Hibiscus syriacus
Lineage: Eukaryota; Viridiplantae; Streptophyta; Magnoliopsida; Malvales; Malvaceae
Exons: 2
Source: RefSeq, a predicted model, not a curated record